Amborella trichopoda is the source of this 5562-nucleotide non-coding RNA. The record is from RefSeq and is a predicted model, not a curated record. NCBI's taxonomy places the organism in Eukaryota, Viridiplantae, Streptophyta, Magnoliopsida, Amborellales, Amborellaceae.
AGCCGUUGAUUUCCUUGUCAAUCACUCUGUAAAACCGAUGGUUUUGGAUACGAUUAUUGUUUCUCUGGUAAGGGGUCAGAUGUUCGAGGAAGUUGUUUUAGUGGUCAGUGUGAUCAAUAGACAUGGUUACAUUCUUCCUUUCAAAUGUUGCAAUAGAUUGGUGAGAUUUUUGAAGAUGAACAAGAGGAUUCUCGAUUUGAACCUUGUGAUUUUCUCCUCGUUUACUAGGUGCACAAAGAAUUUGGGGAGUAUCAAUUGAAUAAAACAAUUGGGUGGUGAUUCUUUGAUCAUAGGAAAAAGUAUGGGUAAAAAUUCAUCAAGAAAUUUGGGCUCUAGAAAGUUUAUUAUGAAGAAUAAAUGUGCAAAAAACAAUGCCUUACAUAGGUUGAAGAAAAUUGGUGUAGGGGAUGGGUACACUGAUUAUUUAGGGAAUAAAUUUGACCCCAAUAUUUGCACGCACAUUGGCUUGAUCAGGGCGUUGUGUCACAAAGGCAAGGUAGAAUUUGCUCCUAGGUUGAGAGAAAAAUUGCUUGUUGUUCCCGAUAUUGGUACUUAUAACUACAUGAUGAAUUGUCUCUGCAAACUGGGAUAUCUCUCAAAGGCAAAUAGGCUUUUGAAAGAGAUAAUGGAAUUGGGGUUGAUCCCCAAUUGUGUCACCUAUAAUACAUUAGUUGAUGAGUUCUGUAGAUUUAAUUAUAUAGACGGUGCUUUUGUUCUUCUAAAUUUUAUGGUGAUGAUUGGCAUCAAACCCAACAGAAUCACUUGUUAGUGCCCUUUGUAACAGGGGUCAAUUGGAAGAUGCUAAUAAGCUUUUAGCAAAGAUACUAACCGAGCAUGAAGCCUCUAAUCUGAUCACUAUGACCAUUCUUAUGAAUGGACAUUGCAGGGAAGGGAAUAUGCUUACGGCUCUUGAAUUAUGGGAUGAAAUGUUGAGAAAAGGUAUCUUGGUUGAUGUUGCUUCAUAUAUUUGCUUAUAGGUUCUUCUCUGAAAUGUUUAAGAAGGGAAUUUCCCCUGACAUUGUGACAUAUAAUACUCUCAUAAAUGGACACUGUAGAGAAGGGAAAUUGGUAGAAGCAUUCAGGUUGCACUCUAAAAUGUCUUCUAAUGGUGUUUUACCUGAUCACAUCUCUUAUGCAUUGGUUAUUCGAGGCCUUUACUUGCACGGAAAUGUAUGCAGAGCACAUCAGCUUCUCCACAAGAUGUUAGAUGAUUCUAUCCUUCCUGACCCUCUUUUGUGGAAUUUAGUUAUUGAUGGGUAUGGAAGAUGUGGAGAAACAGAGCUUGUAUUUGAGGUGAGAGAUCAUUUGUUAGCAUUAAGCAUGGCGCCCAACAUUUUCACCUACAAUGCUGCUCAUGUGAAGGAAGGAAAUCUUCAAGGAGCAUUCAUGUUGAAGGAAGAAAUGUUUGAGAAUGGGAUUCUUCCUGAUGUGGUUACGUACAACCUGCUUAUAAGUGAGUUGUGUAGUUUUGGUCAUGUGUAUUUGCAUUUCAAUUGCAUGAUGAAAUUAUAAGAAGAGGGUACGACCCUGACAAAUUCACUUAUACAGAGUUGAUUCGUGGGCUUUGUGUAAGUGGCAAAAUGCAUGAAGCCCAUGAGCUUUUGGUUAAGAUGAAGAACAUGGAUGUGCCUGUUGACCAUGUACCACACCCCAUACUUAUAAGGAAAUAUUGCAAAGAGAAGCAGUUGGAUAUUGCAUUUGAUCUCUAUGAGGAAAUGUUUGAAAAGGGUCUCCGUAGUAAGGCUUGUACCUAUCAUACCCUUAUUACUGAAUUGACGAAGAACGGUUUUUUUAAAGAAGCCCUGCAAGUAAAUCAUAACAUGGGUAUAGAAUCUGCAAUAUAGGAUAGAGAUUUCAUUGCUAUUUCAUCCAUGGAAGUCUCAUUGGGCACCUCUUAGAAUCCAUUUGGUUCCCAAAGCUGCUUCAUAGACAUGGGUUUUCCAUGUCAUGGGUGUACCCUGAUACAGCAUGGCAUGGGCAGUUCAAAAGAUACUCGGAUAUUUGAGCUUCUCCGGUGUACCAUGAGAUGAGCACAACACAUUUAAAUGGGUGCAUCAAGAUCGGGCUAAGGGCUCGUGAGAUAUUAUUCUUGUAUGGGGUACGGCCUUUCUCUUUCUGACAGAACCUCAUUAAAGAAAUGCAGUACCCACCCAAGUUAGAACCUCAUUAAAGAAUUGCACAAUUCCACCCAAGUGAUCUCACUUCUUGUUGCACUUCCUUUCUGAGACCACCACCGUGGGGAACCCUCAAUGGACCUAGUUUUUGAUGCACUUCAAGGAAGGUUCCUUCGGUUUUCACCACAGUCAUAAAAUGGACAAGGAGAGAAGUCACGUGUUUCGGGCCUCUUAAGGUGUUCUUUCCAACAGGCCAACUAGCCAGAGUGUGAAACCUUAAAUUCCUUUUCCAAAUGCCAUCCUUUUUCCUUAUACGUAAACUAUUAAACAUGAUUGUAAACCUUCUCCACAACACUAAUUUUGGAUUCUCUUCUUCAAAAUGAACAUCUAUAGGUUUGGGUGUUACGACAUCUACAAAAAGAAGAAGUUUGUGCAGAGAAAGUGGGACAUGUGAAGAUGCAUCAGUUCGUGAGGAACUAUGCUUCACUUCUCUGGGGUUCUGCACUCCUCUCCUCUGAUGCCCAUGGAUAAAGAGAUAAGAGUACAUAAAGCCAUGUACUGCAGAAAUAGAUGGAAAUCCAAGUAAAAUGACACUAUUUCUCUGUGACUACCAACAUGCUUUUCUCACACUGAUGUUCUUUAUUCAUGAACAUCAGUUUGUUGACCAAGAUUUGAGAGUGGCUUUGUCUGCGGACAGGUAUUUAUAAGAAAGAUGCAUAUGUUCAUGAGCAAAUUUCUUUGGUUAAGUGGCUAUUUCCCUAAUUGUUUUUGUGCUUCCACGAAAAACUGAAUUAAAGGAAACCUGGACCGAAAGUGGAAUAUCAAAUUGGAGUUGGAGUUGGAAUGAGAAAUUUGUAUCUUUGUAACCCUUGUAACCAAAUAACCUUACUAAGGCAUCUCAGAUACCCUGAUUUGAUACUGGAUUUAAACGGUAUGUUGUUUCUUACACUUUCCACAAUAGUAAAUAAUGUCCAGCACAAUUGGCAUCUUGAAACUCAAUUUGGGAUGAUAAGGGAGAGAAGCGUGAUCUACCAAACAUGCCCUUAAAAUACCAAAUAAUCAUUUGAACCAGUGAUGUGCAUGCACGAUAGGCUAAGAACAUGCACUUUUUGGGUGAUGUCAAUGACAUAUGAUGUCAAAUAAACAUAAUAGUACUGCUUUCUAAUACAUUUCCAUCAUCUUUGAAUGAACGGCCUUAUUGGCAGUGAGAUUAGCAAGUGCAAGGAUAACCUUUUUCAUAUCUUAUUGGCUUAUAAAAUAUCCAUUUUAAGGCCUAAGAACUUCAAGUUGUAAGAAAUGUCAUUACACCUUGAUCCUUCAUUUCAAACUUCCUCUCUAGGAGAUGUUGGUAGUGAUCUAUACCCUCGUGGUCACCCUCGACAGCAUGUCAUCAACGUAAACUGGUUGUAAAACAACACAUUAGUACGUUGAAAGAGGCGUUAUACCCACUCUGAUUCAAUCCAACAUGAAUAAUGUAAUGAAAUUUCUCGAACUGCAUGCUAGGUGGUGAUUAGCAGGUCACAAAUUUAGUGGUGAUUAGCAGGUCACUGGAGAGUGCAGGAGCAAGUGACUGGCUUCUUUAUUCGUAGAAAUAGAGUUCCGUGGAAGUGUCAGUAUAGAUUUGAAUGGAGUAGGCUUAUUCUAGUGCCAGACUGUCUUUGGCAAGCAUAUUCACAUUUUACUUUAUGGAUUUUGAGCUAAUUCUUUCUUACUGGAUAAUGCAAACCAUAAUACCAUGAGCCUUGGAAGAUGCAAAAUAGUUAAUGCUGAAAAAUCAAUUGGAUAAUGAGAUUUAAUGCAUAUUUUAAUUGGAGAAUGUGGACUUGGAUUCAUCAAUUAAUUUUGAGCAAUAUCUGAAGAGUUUUAACCAAGUUUAUUCUAUCUUCUCUAUAAAGUUAGGUGGAUCUUCGCUUCAAAUCUUUGUGUUGCCCACAGUGUUCUCAUUUAAGGUAUAAGGAAGGCUUGAAGUUGUCGUUUUUUGUUUUUAUUAAUAACUUUUGGCAUUUGACAAGUUAACUUCAUUUUACAGACCAUGUGGCCCAUGGGAAUUCUGUACUGGGCAAAGGUUGCCUUCUGAGUUCAAUGCCUGCCCUUAGAGAAGUGGUCCAUGUAAUUCCAAUGUUUGCCUUACAUGACGUAUACACAAUUAUCAGUUGGACAUGCCCUUGGUGAUAUACACAGCUUCACUAUUCAAGUAUGACUUGCAAAGAUACAAUUGGCAAAUCUUUCCAGUGGCAUACAUCUAUUUCACUCACGUGGUAGCUACUAAUUGGAAAAGGGAUUGUAUACUAUGAGACCAUUCAACUUUGGUAUAAGGACGUCACAAUCAUCCCUAGCAGUCGAUUGUAAACUCUAAUGGCAUGGGGUGCGUCACAAAGUUUAAAAUGUUUUCUUUGAGACUUUUGAGCUAGUCAAUGGCACUCAAUUCAACCACCUGAUUUGAUGUCCAAUGUCUGAGGGUAAUUGUGACCUCCCUAUAUCAAAUGUAAAUGGUUUUAUUUUAUACUUUCCCUUGAAAAAAUUGCUUUCUUUUCUUCCCUUGUACUUUAUAACAUGCACAAUUAUAUGUGUCUUGCAUCGAAUUGUUGUUAUUGUUGUAAAUGUAUUUUGGUUUGAUAAGUUAUGAAAAAGUAAAUUUUUGGAGUAUAUGGAGCGAAGUCUUUUUGUAUUUGGAACAUGACAAUGACGAAGGUUGUCGAUGCCAGUGGGCCACCAGGACUUCCAAGUUUGUUAUAGUAAGGCUGUCACUGGACGGAUUUCAGUGUUAUGCUUUUCACCUGAUGAGGAGCUCAACAGUCAUCCAAAAGAAAAGACUCUCUCAAGACUUGUUCUUGGCAGCGAGCCCAGCCUGUCAUUGCGAAUGAAAGCUAGUGAGCAUCGGAUCAAAAGGUGGUAGGUUCUCUCCAAUUAAUGGAACAUCCAACAAAUCACUGGUACAUACUUGAAGCCGAGGAAAAUCCCCAGGCUCGAUGAACUUUAAUACUCCCAAACUCUGUGAGAACUUGAGGCCAACAUGAAACCCAAUGCUGAAGAAUAUCGGAAAGUACAAUAAUGUUGCCUCUGAAGAACUUCCCCUCUAGGCCUUCUUCCAAACUUGAAAGGUGCUAGAGCAAUUCUUGGACAACCUUCUCUUGUUCAUCUCGCUCUGAGUAUGACAUUCUCCAUAGGAGAGGAAGCAUCUCUAAAACCCAAAAAGAAAAGAGAAGUAUGAGAUAGAAUGUAGUAUUUUAGAAUGUAGUAUGUUCACAUAGAGGUUCAUUGGUCACACAUUGUUGUCUGGUACAGCCUUAAUUUGCAUGAAAUUUGUGUCGUUUGCCAAUUGAUGACAAUGGAAAGAGGAAAGUAUGUAUCAUAGAAUGUUUAUGCAUUUGCACUGGCCAGAGUGAGAGAGGUACUAUGGAGAAACAUUUCAUACAUGAAUGGUAUGGCAUAGGGUAUGCAGAAUGGA